This 68-nucleotide transfer RNA is filed under the name Gromphadorhina portentosa (giant Madagascar hissing cockroach). RNAcentral describes it as "tRNA-Tyr". The record is from RNAcentral. RNAcentral also lists the same sequence under 2 other names. Lineage: Eukaryota; Metazoa; Arthropoda; Insecta; Blattodea; Blaberidae.
AGUAGAAUGACUGAGAAUUUAAGGUGAAAGAUUGUAAAUCUUUUUAGGAGUAGUAUACUCUUCUACUA